RNAcentral lists this ribosomal RNA (430 nucleotides) under uncultured bacterium. RNAcentral describes it as "bacterial SSU rRNA". It matches the Rfam family "Bacterial small subunit ribosomal RNA", at positions 355 to 776 of the family's 1533-position model. The record is from RNAcentral.
UAGGGAAUAUUGCGCAAUGGGCGAAAGCCUGACGCAGCAAUACCGCGUGGGUGAGGAAGGUCUUCGGAUUGUAAAGCCCUGUCACUGUGGAAAAAUGGCAUGCUUUCGAAUAGGGAGUAUGUUUGAUGGUACACAGAGAGGAAGCACCGGCCAACUUCGUGCCAGCAGCCGCGGUAAUACGAAGGGUGCAAGCGUUGUUCGGAUUUAUUGGGCGUAAAGCGCGCGCAGGCGGGCAGAUAAGUCAGGUGUGAAAUCUCGGAGCUUAACUCCGAACGUGCGCCUGAAACUGUUUGUCUAGAAUGGCGGAGGGGGAAGGGGAAUUUCGCAUGUAGGGGUAAAAUCCGUAGAUAUGCGAAGGAACACCGGAGGCGAAAGCGCCUUCCUGGACGCCUAUUGACGCUGAGGCGCGAGAGCGUGGGGAGCAAACAGG